Molecule: ribosomal RNA, 249 nt
Filed under: uncultured bacterium
Lineage: Bacteria
Description: partial 16S ribosomal RNA
Rfam family: Bacterial small subunit ribosomal RNA
Source: RNAcentral
UAGGGUGCGAGCGUUAAUCGGAAUUACUGGGCGUAAAGCGUGCGCAGGCGGCUUACUAAGUCAGGUGUGAAAGCCCCGAGCUUAACUUGGGAAUGGCGCUUGUGACUGGUAGGCUGGAGUGUGGCAGAGGGAGGUGGAAUUCCACGUGUAGCAGUGAAAUGCGUAGAGAUGUGGAGGAACACCGAUGGCGAAGGCAGCCUCCUGGGCCAGCACUGACGCUCAUGCACGAAAGCGUGGGGAGCAAACAGG